This 424-nucleotide ribosomal RNA is filed under the name uncultured bacterium. Its description in RNAcentral is "bacterial SSU rRNA". It matches the Rfam family "Bacterial small subunit ribosomal RNA", at positions 355 to 776 of the family's 1533-position model. The record is from RNAcentral. RNAcentral also lists the same sequence under 1 other name.
UGAGGAAUAUUGGUCAAUGGACGAGAGUCUGAACCAGCCAAGUCGCGUGAAGGAAGACGGUUCUAUGAAUUGUAAACUUCUUUUGUGCAGGAAUAAAGUGGGUUACGUGUAACCUUUUGUAUGUACUGUACGAAUAAGGAUCGGCUAACUCCGUGCCAGCAGCCGCGGUAAUACGGAGGAUCCGAGCGUUAUCCGGAUUUAUUGGGUUUAAAGGGUGCGUAGGUGGAUUGAUAAGUCAGCGGUGAAAGUUUGCAGCUUAACUGUAAAAUUGCCGUUGAAACUGUCGGUCUUGAGUGCAAAUGAGGUAGGCGGAAUGUGUUGUGUAGCGGUGAAAUGCUUAGAUAUAACACAGAACUCCGAUUGCGAAGGCAGCUUACUGGGAUGCAACUGACACUGAUGCACGAAAGCGUGGGUAUCAAACAGG